UUUUAGUAGGGUUCCCCUUUAGAGAGGGGCAUUGCCUCUUGUGAACUAGCACCAGGUACAUGCUGUGAAGACAAGGUAGAAUUAGGAAUAUUGAAGGAGAUGAGAGGACGCCUCAUUCUUCCUUCUCUCAUCCAAGGGUGAAAUUCUCACGCAUUGCGAUUGCGCCACCUCUGGCGACCUCCCACAAGCAUAAGACAAAUCGUCAAGCCAUAUAUAGAGCGUUAAAAACCGGCCGAAUUCGUUUUACGCAUGUCCAGUAAGUUUACUGCGCAUGCCGCACCAACUACGAAGGCCAACGACAACCUACGAAAUGGUGAUUUAAAUACGACAUACGACCAUGGCAAUAACCGCUGUAGCUAGUUUGCGGGCGUUCAGGAAAAUGGCAGACCAUUCUCCUCUGGUCACCAGUGCGGAUAGUGUCAUAAAUGAAGAUACAACAAUAGUAAGAUAUGGUAGCAACAGAUGUAAGAAUGUUUUGAACGUGGUAUUGAUAUUAGGUUUCAUAGUUGUUGGUUCUGUGGUGAUAAUUGUUCUUCUUCUGGUUCGUCCGAAUGUCAGAAACAAUCCUGAAUACGGUGUUGUAUUUGAUGCUGGUUCAAGGCACACGUCUGCAUAUGUUUAUAAGUGGCCAGGAAAUAUAAGGUUAAGAGGAACUGCGGUUCCUGUGGAUGAGAUUUGCCAUGUUUCCAACAGUACAGGAAUAUCAUCAUUUGUGAACAAUCCAAAAGGUGCAGGUUCGUUGGUGGGCAAUUUAUUAAAAAAUGUCAUCGGAGAGGUUCCACAUGACAAGAGAUCAUCAACUCCUGUGUAUCUUGGAGCAACAGCAGGAAUGAGAUUGGAACGUGAGGUGAACAAGACAAUUUCGGACAACAUUAUGUCAUCUAUACGGGAUGUUUUUCUUGCUUCAAGCUUACAAUUCUCUGCCAAGAAUGCUAAGAUCAUUACAGGAAAAGAUGAAGGUUCUUUUGGAUGGAUCACUGUGAACUAUUUAAAGAAAGUUCUGCAGGAGAAAAAUGAGGAAGACAUCAAGGAGACCUCCGGAGCAUUAGAUUUAGGUGGAGCUUCAACUCAGAUCACAUUUGUGCCGCAAAACACUUCCCAAGCUAACCAACAUUUUAGGCUUUAUGGUAAAGACUAUCCCGUCUAUACUAAAACAUAUUUGUGUUAUGGACUUUCUGAAAUUUACCGAAGAUUUCUAGCACAACUAGCAAAGAAUGCAAACUACUCGGCUACGAUAUCCAAUCCCUGUGCUCGAAAAGGAAGCAUUACUAACCAAUCAGCGUCCAACAUAUUUCGUGAACCCUGCAGCUGUGAGCCAUCGCCGAAACCCAGAACUGCCCAGUUCACUUUCAACGGUUCAAACAACGAGUCGGAAUGCAACGAAAAUAUCAGGAGUCUUUUUGAUUAUAGUUCAACUUGUCCUAAUGCUGUACCAUUUUUCAACGCAAGUCAUAAACAACCUCCAGUUACGGGUAAUUUCCUGGCAUUUUCAGCGUAUUAUAUCAUUAAAAAAAACUUGAAUUUGCCAACUUCACCCACAAUGGACGAAUACAGGUCUGCUUAUUUGGCCUACUGCAAUAGAAAUGUGGUUGAGAGAAAAACGCUGGAUGCUUUUGUCACUGUAGUUCCGACCUGUUUUUCUGGACACUAUAUCUACACUUUGCUGACGUACGGUUUUCAAUUUAAGAAUGAUACGUGGAAAAUCUCUUUUGGGAAAACCAAAUUGUGCUUCUGAAUCAAAAAGCUCAAAGAUUUGAAGUGUAAAGGUGGAUGAAUGUGUAAGGAUAACUUGUGAAACUUGUGUGAAAUAUUGUGCCGCAGUUUUUGCGAGGAAAAGACCAAAAAGUCUUGAUUCUUGUCGCCUUUUGAAGUUAGCUUGCAGAAAUAUCUGGGAUAAUGUCGUUAGGAAGAUCACCAAUCCUUGAGAAACUUCUUUCCACUGAAAACCAAUCUGAUACUAGCAAUACAACCAACUUCAAACCAAACCCAGGAG
Molecule: unclassified non-coding RNA, 1993 nt
Filed under: Dendronephthya gigantea
Lineage: Eukaryota; Metazoa; Cnidaria; Anthozoa; Malacalcyonacea; Nephtheidae
Description: ectonucleoside triphosphate diphosphohydrolase 1- like, transcript variant X3
Source: RNAcentral